AUUGAACGCUGGCGGCAGGCCUAACACAUGCAAGUCGAACGAGUGGCGGACGGGUGAGUAAUGUCUGGGAAACUGCCCGAUGGAGGGGGAUAACUACUGGAAACGGUAGCUAAUACCGCAUACCAUCGGAUGUGCCCAGAUGGGUUUAGCUAGUAGGUGGGGUAACGGCUCACCUAGGCGACGAUCCCUAGCUGGUCUGAGAGGAUGACCGCCCAAACGGGAACGGAGAAAGGGUCCAGCCCCCUACGGGGGGCGGAAGUGGGAAAUAUUGGACAAGGGGCGCAAGCCGAAUGCAGCCAGGCCGCGUGGAUGAAGAAGGCCUUCGGGUUGUAAAGUACUUUCAGCGAGGAGGCGUUACUCGCAGAGGAAGCACCGGCUAACUCCGUGCCAGCCGCCGCGGUAAUAC
RNAcentral lists this ribosomal RNA (406 nucleotides) under uncultured bacterium. RNAcentral's name for it is "partial 16S ribosomal RNA". It matches the Rfam family "Bacterial small subunit ribosomal RNA", at positions 29 to 526 of the family's 1533-position model. The record is from RNAcentral.